This is a long non-coding RNA of Anolis carolinensis (green anole), 293 nucleotides long. RefSeq lists it as uncharacterized. The record is from RefSeq and is a predicted model, not a curated record. The transcript has 2 exons. NCBI's taxonomy places the organism in Eukaryota, Metazoa, Chordata, Lepidosauria, Squamata, Anolidae.
CAGGAUUCCAGUCUUGGCUGAACUUAACAUUGGACGUGUUACGUGUUUUGGGGGAAAGCACUGUGACAGCCAGCAGAAUGGAGUCAAUGACUUCAGACAAUAAGACUAUCAUGUUCCUGGAGGUGGCAGGAGGAACUGGACAUUCCUGCUUGCAAUCAACAGGAGCCUCAACUUAAAUAUCUAGUUUGUUGGAUGCUUGAGUUAGGAGGGGUGUAUUUGCUUUCCCAUGCAAGGCAUGGUGGUGUGAAUUUUGUUUAUUUAUUGAAUUAUAUUCUGGUUAUAGUAUGCCAUUU